GGGCGGGGGACAGGGGGCGAGGCGGGAUGUCUCAGUCACCGGAGGCUGGCGAGGAGGUGAGUAGGACGGAGGCCGCUCACAGUCACGCUCGCAGGUUCCUGCCCCGGCCACAGUUCGCUGCCCGCCCAAGGUCGGGGCCCCGCCUGGGGCCCCCGGACGGACGCUCCCCUCCCCGACGCACAGCGUUCUACCCUACCCCGCGGCUUUCUCGGGAGCACGCGGACCGCUCCGGUCCCACGGCUUCCUCCCGCAGCCCCUCUCCCCUGCCCUGGGCCCGCGGCGGGAAGGGUUCCGGGGACCCGGCGGGCCGGGCCAGGGGCGGAGCGGGACCGUUGUGACACGCUCCCCCCCACCCCCCACCCCCCGCCCGGGGCAGGGUGGGGCGGGACACGCAAAUUAGCGAGUCCUCCGCUAGGGAAGGACGGGAGGGAGCGGAAAGGGACGCGAAAAUUCACCAGGAAUGCGGGGGGCAACUGCAACUGCACCGCGUGUGGCGCGUACCCCGGGAUAGUGAGUCAAGAAUGUGGACUGAGCGUGACCUGGCUCACCGUUUUGAAGGUCUAAAUAUCCGAAUCCGGCGACAUCCUCCAAAUGCAACGGACUGCUCAUUGGCUGUCCUACCGGGCCUGUGAAAUAUUGCUUCUCCAGUAUUUCCAAUACAUCUCCAACAGAUUAAGGUCACUCUGUGACCGUGAUGAAUCAAGACAGAAACAAGGCCACUCCGUAGUCGCCUCCGAACUGAGACAAGAAAAAAGAAGAAUAUUGUCCAAACAACAAAGCUGACCAAACACCCCCUAUCCUAGCUAAUAUGAGUAACUGCUGCUACUUUCCCAGUCGCAGUUUUGGCCUCGCUCUAUUCUUCCUUUCUCCUAGGUGUGUUCCUGGUGGUCUUUGGCUGGAUGGCGUUGACAAGUUAUUAAGAGGGUCCACCGAUGGACCCAUAUGGGAACUGCGACGUGGAAUGCGUUUUAUUCUAACAAGCAAAGUUCCCCCCCCCCCC
This is a long non-coding RNA of Panthera uncia (snow leopard), 1000 nucleotides long. RefSeq lists it as uncharacterized. The record is from RefSeq and is a predicted model, not a curated record. NCBI's taxonomy places the organism in Eukaryota, Metazoa, Chordata, Mammalia, Carnivora, Felidae. The transcript is spliced from 4 exons.